CCUACGGGAGGCAGCAGUAGGGAAUAUUGCUCAAUGGGGGAAACCCUGAAGCAGCAACGCAGCGUGGAGGAUGAAGGUUUUGUGAUUGUAAACUCCUUUUGUUAGAGAAGAUUAUGACGGUAUCUAACGAAUAAGCACCGGCUAACUCCGUGCCAGCAGCCGCGGUAAUACGGAGGGUGCAAGCGUUACUCGGAAUCACUGGGCGUAAGGAGUGCGUAGGCGGGGUAAUAAGUCAGAUGUGAAAUCCUGUAGCUUAACUACAGAACUGCAUUUGAAACUGUUACUCUGGAGUGUGGGAGAGGUAGGUGGAAUUCUUGGUGUAGGGGUGAAAUCCGUAGAGAUCAAGAGGAAUACUCAUUGCGAAGGCGACCUGCUGGAACAUUACUGACGCUGAUGCACGAAAGCGUGGGGAGCAAACAGGAUUAGAUACCCCUGUAGUC
This 440-nucleotide ribosomal RNA is filed under the name uncultured bacterium. RNAcentral's name for it is "partial 16S ribosomal RNA". It matches the Rfam family "Bacterial small subunit ribosomal RNA", at positions 338 to 795 of the family's 1533-position model. The record is from RNAcentral.